GAUGAAGAACGCAGCGAAAUGCGAUAAGUAGUGUGAAUUGCAGAAUUCAGUGAAUCAUCGAAUCUUUGAACGCACAUUGCGCCCCUUGGUAUUCCAUGGGGCAUGCCUGUUCGAGCGUCAUUUGUACCUUCAAGCUCUGCUUGGUGUUGGGUGUUUGUCCUUGCUCUAGUGGCGGGACUCGCCUUAAAGUAAUUGGCAGCCAGUGUUUUGGUUUUGAAGCGCAGCACAAGUCGCGAUUCAAGUCUAUACGCUAGUUUCCACCAGUCUUUUAUCACUUUUGACCUCGGAUCAGGUAGGGAUACCCGCUGAACUUAAGCAUAUCAAUAAGCGGAGGA
This 335-nucleotide unclassified non-coding RNA is filed under the name soil metagenome. RNAcentral's name for it is "partial contains 5.8S ribosomal RNA, internal transcribed spacer 2, and large subunit ribosomal RNA". The stretch from base 1 to 120 matches the Rfam family "5.8S ribosomal RNA", at positions 35 to 154 of the family's 154-position model. The record is from RNAcentral.